Molecule: unclassified non-coding RNA, 237 nt
Filed under: Black locust witches'-broom phytoplasma
Lineage: Bacteria; Bacillati; Mycoplasmatota; Mollicutes; Acholeplasmatales; Acholeplasmataceae
Description: 16S-23S intergenic spacer
Rfam family: tRNA (bases 81-154)
Source: RNAcentral
CUAAGGAAAAAAUAAAAUUAUCAUCUUCAGUUUUGAAAGACUUAGAAAAUUCAUAAGUUUUUCUUUUUUUAAGGCAUUAAGGGCCUAUAGCUCAGCUGGUUAGAGCACACGCCUGAUAAGCGUGAGGUCGGUGGUUCAAGUCCAUUUAGGCCCACCAGUUUAUUUUAAAAGUUAUAAGCACUGUCUUAAAAAAAAGUUCUUUGAAAAGUAGAUAAACAUAGUAAAAUCAAAAAAAAU